Molecule: ribosomal RNA, 636 nt
Filed under: uncultured Arcobacter sp.
Lineage: Bacteria; Pseudomonadati; Campylobacterota; Epsilonproteobacteria; Campylobacterales; Arcobacteraceae
Description: bacterial SSU rRNA
Rfam family: Bacterial small subunit ribosomal RNA
Source: RNAcentral
AAACUUAAAUGAAUUGACGGGGACCCGCACAAGCGGUGGAGCAUGUGGUUUAAUUCGACGAUACACGAAGAACCUUACCUGGACUUGACAUAGUAAGAACUUUCUAGAGAUAGAUUGGUGUCUGCUUGCAGAAACUUAUAUACAGGUGCUGCACGGCUGUCGUCAGCUCGUGUCGUGAGAUGUUGGGUUAAGUCCCGCAACGAGCGCAACCCUCGUCAUUAGUUGCUAACAGUUCGGCUGAGAACUCUAAUGAGACUGCCUACGCAAGUAGGAGGAAGGUGAGGACGACGUCAAGUCAUCAUGGCCCUUACGUCCAGGGCUACACACGUGCUACAAUGGGGUAUACAAAGAGCAGCAAUACAGUGAUGUGGAGCAAAUCUCAAAAAUAUCUCCCAGUUCGGAUUGUAGUCUGCAACUCGACUACAUGAAGUUGGAAUCGCUAGUAAUCGUAGAUCAGCUAUGCUACGGUGAAUACGUUCCCGGGUCUUGUACUCACCGCCCGUCACACCAUGGGAGUUGAACUCAUUCGAAGCGGGGAUGCUAAAGUAGCUACCUUCCACAGUGGAUUCAGCGACUGGGGUGAAGUCGUAACAAGGUAACCGUAGGAGAACCUGCGGUUGGAUCACCUCCUUUAUG